Molecule: transfer RNA, 69 nt
Filed under: Ictidomys tridecemlineatus (thirteen-lined ground squirrel)
Lineage: Eukaryota; Metazoa; Chordata; Mammalia; Rodentia; Sciuridae
Description: Spermophilus tridecemlineatus (thirteen-lined ground squirrel) tRNA
Rfam family: tRNA
About the family: Transfer RNA (tRNA) molecules are approximately 80 nucleotides in length. Their secondary structure includes four short double-helical elements and three loops (D, anti-codon, and T loops).
Source: Rfam by way of RNAcentral
GGGGUUGUGGCUCAGCAGUAGAGCGCUUGCCUAGUAUGUGUGAGGCCCUAAGUUCAAUCCUUAGCACCA